AACCAGCACCUCAAGUGGUCAGGAUGAUUAUUGGGCCUAAAGCAUCCGUAGCCGGCUCUGUAAGUUUUCGGUUAAAUCUGUACGCUCAACGUACAGGCUGCCGGGAAUACUGCAGAGCUAGGGAGUGGGAGAGGUAGACGGUACUCGGUAGGAAGGGGUAAAAUCCUUUGAUCUAUUGAUGACCACCUGUGGCGAAGGCGCCACACUAGAACGGAUCCGACGGUCAGGGACGAAGCCUAGGGGCACGAACCGG
RNAcentral lists this ribosomal RNA (253 nucleotides) under uncultured archaeon. RNAcentral's name for it is "partial 16S ribosomal RNA". It matches the Rfam family "Archaeal small subunit ribosomal RNA", at positions 474 to 727 of the family's 1478-position model. The record is from RNAcentral.